AACGAACGCUGGCGGCAUGCCUAACACAUGCAAGUCGAACGAGACCUUCGGGUCUGGUGGCGCACGGGGGCGUAACGCGUGGGAACAUGCGCUUGGGCUCGGGAUAACAGUUGGAAACGGCUGCUAAUCUCGGACGAUGACUUCGGACCAACGAUUUCUCGCCCAGGGAUGAGCCCGCGUCGGAUUAGCUAGUUGGUGAGGUGAGAGCUCACCAAGGCGACGAUCCGUAGCUGGUCUGAGAGGAUGAUCAGCCACACUGGGACUGAGACCCGACCCAGACUCCUGCGGGAGGCAGCGGUGGGGAAUAUUGGACCAUGGGCGUAAGCCUGAUCCAGCAAUGGCGCGUGAGUGAUGAAGGCCUUAGGGUUGUAAAGCUGUUUUACCCGGGAUGAUAAUGACAGUACCGGGAGAAUAAGCCCCGGCUAACUCCGUG
RNAcentral lists this ribosomal RNA (433 nucleotides) under uncultured bacterium. RNAcentral's name for it is "partial 16S ribosomal RNA". It matches the Rfam family "Bacterial small subunit ribosomal RNA", at positions 29 to 507 of the family's 1533-position model. The record is from RNAcentral.